UUUCCGUAGUUGAACCUGCGGAAGGAUCAUUACCUAGAGUUGUAGGCUUUGCCUGCUAUCUCUUACCCAUGUCUUUUGAGUACCUUCGUUUCCUCGGUGGGUUCGCCCGCCGAUUGGACAAAACUUAAACCCUUUGUAGUUGCAAUCAGCGUCUGAAAAAACUUAAUAGUUACAUCUUUCAACAACUGUUCUCUUGGUUCUGGCAUCGAAGAAGAACGCAGC
This 222-nucleotide unclassified non-coding RNA is filed under the name uncultured fungus. Its description in RNAcentral is "sequence contains ITS1, 5.8S rRNA gene". The record is from RNAcentral. Lineage: Eukaryota; Fungi.